This 245-nucleotide ribosomal RNA is filed under the name uncultured Actinomycetales bacterium. RNAcentral describes it as "partial 16S ribosomal RNA". It matches the Rfam family "Bacterial small subunit ribosomal RNA", at positions 88 to 334 of the family's 1533-position model. Lineage: Bacteria; Bacillati; Actinomycetota; Actinomycetes; Actinomycetales. The record is from RNAcentral.
UGCUCGAGUGGCGAACGGGUGAGUAACACGUGAGUAACCUGCCCUUGACUUUGGGAUAACUUCAGGAAACUGGGGCUAAUACCGGAUAGGAGCUCCUGCUGCAUGGUGGGGGUUGGAAAGUUUCGGCGGUUGGGGAUGGACUCGCGGCUUAUCAGCUUGUUGGUGGGGCAGUGGCUUACCAAGGCUUUGACGGGUAGCCGGCCUGAGAGGGUGACCGGCCACAUUGGGACUGAGAUACGGCCCAG